CGACCGGGUGAGUAACACGUGACUAACCUACCUUCAAGUGGGGGAUAACCUCGGGAAACCGGGGCUAAUACCGCAUAAUAUCUUCGGGAUGAGAAGCCGAAGAUCAAAGGAGCAAUUCGCUGGAAGAGGGAGUCGCGGCUGAUUAGCUAGUUGGCGGGGUAAUGGCCCACCAAGGCUUUGAUCGGUAGCCGGCCUGAGAGGGCGCACGGCCACACUGGAACUGAAACACGGUCCAG
This 236-nucleotide ribosomal RNA is filed under the name uncultured bacterium. Its description in RNAcentral is "partial 16S ribosomal RNA". It matches the Rfam family "Bacterial small subunit ribosomal RNA", at positions 99 to 334 of the family's 1533-position model. The record is from RNAcentral.